Molecule: long non-coding RNA, 764 nt
Filed under: Bos indicus x Bos taurus (hybrid cattle)
Lineage: Eukaryota; Metazoa; Chordata; Mammalia; Artiodactyla; Bovidae
Description: lncRNA (ENSBIXG00005006385.1)
Source: RNAcentral
AUGGCCGUUUCUCCCCACAGUGGAGCUCCUAACUCUGGCGGAGCCCACUCCGCGUGGGUGUUGCCUCCCUUUCCGCCAAAGGGGUUGGAUCCGAACGUGCGCCUUCCUCUCACCAGCUCCACUCGCCCCGCCGCCAGGAGCACUUGCAGGAAAAGUGUGGCCCGGCCCAGGGCGGGGUUGCUCCGGAUGCGACCUGUACCGCCCUGCUCUCCUCCCCAAACUCACGCUGCCCUCGGACCCCAGCCUGUCCCGUCGCGCUCAGCGCCCGAAGCUCGCCGUGCCGACGCCCAGGAGACCUCCUGCCUCGGUCGCGAUUCCUGGAGGGCCGAUCGCCCACCCGCCCGGGUCCGCCUGAGGACGGGGGCGCCUUCAUGCGGCCCCCACAUUCCUCAUCCCGCCGCCGCCGCCGCCGUCUCCGAGCUCCGCGCGCUGCGCCCCAGCCCCAGCAGGGCACUCAACUUUGGAAGUCCCGCGACGCUCCGAGAGGCGGCAGAGUCCGCACCGUGGCCCCAACCCGGGCCCCGCCGGCCCCGCCGCGUCUGGGGGAAGCGAGAGAGUCGGUGUUCGCUUCGGAGAUAUAAGGAGAGAGACACACGACCCCAAGCCAGCAUCAGCACCCCUCGGCUGCCUCCCGGGUUGGGGGCGGGCCCCGCACACGAGCCAGAGGGUAGGACUGGACAAACUUCAAGACCCAGACCAGAUCCAUAGUGACCACGAUGGUUUCUCCUGAAGCAGCCCUGAAACCGAAGUCUCCUGGUGGCCAG